RNAcentral lists this ribosomal RNA (383 nucleotides) under uncultured beta proteobacterium. Its description in RNAcentral is "bacterial SSU rRNA". It matches the Rfam family "Bacterial small subunit ribosomal RNA", at positions 355 to 730 of the family's 1533-position model. The record is from RNAcentral. Lineage: Bacteria; Pseudomonadati; Pseudomonadota; Betaproteobacteria.
UGGGGAAUUUUGGACAAUGGGGGAAACCCUGAUCCAGCCAUGCCGCGUGAGUGAAGAAGGCCUCGGGUUGUAAAGCUCUUUUGGUCCGGAAAGAAAAGGCCAACGGUAAUACCCGUGGUUCUUGACGGUACCGGCAGAAUAAGCACCGGCUAACUACGUGCCAGCAGCCGCGGUAAUACGUAGGGUGCGAGCGUUAAUCGGAAUUACUGGGCGUAAAGCGUGCGUAGGCGGUCCCGCAAGUCCGCUGUGAAAGCCCCGGGCUCAACCUGGGAACUGCAGUGGAAACUAUGGGACUUGAAUCCGGCAGAGGGGGGUGGAAUGCCACGUGUAGCAGUGAAAUGCGUAGAGAUGUGGCGGAACACCGAUGGCGAAGGCAGCCCCCU